Non-coding RNA from Picea glauca (white spruce), 560 nucleotides. The record is from Rfam. NCBI's taxonomy places the organism in Eukaryota, Viridiplantae, Streptophyta, Pinopsida, Pinales, Pinaceae.
AUAAUUAAUACACACCUAUCCCACACAACCACAUACACAAAUGAUAACACACCUAUAAACAUAAGAAUCAAUGCACCUAACCUAUUUACUUACCCACACAUCUCAACGAUGCAUCUUGUUGGUGACCAUUCUCCUCUCAGGUAAAUAGUUAAUCUAUGUUAGUUAGACCGAGUAGGUCCAAGGGGGAUAGGGUUUAAUGUGUUAAUAAUAACCUAAACUAGACCUUGAAUAUACACCCCCUAACCUUCUAAAUCAUUGACCCAUAACCCAUAACCCUUCUAAAGAUGCAAUGUGAUUUAUUCCCAUUGCUCUGCAUGUCAAUGUGAAGAAAUUCAACGAAGCACAGGUAAAUAACAUGAGUAACUAUGACUCUCUUAAGGUAUCCAAAUGCCUCAUAAUCUAAUUAGUGAUGUGCAUGAAUGUAUUAAUGAUAUUCCCCAUUGUUCCUAGAUACUAUAUUCUAGAGAAACCACAUCCAAGGGAAUGGGCUUGGAAGAAUUAGCGGGGAAAUAAGACCCUGUUGAGCUUGACUCUAGUCUUAACCCAUUCAUAAUUUGGGA